This 253-nucleotide ribosomal RNA is filed under the name uncultured bacterium. Its description in RNAcentral is "partial 16S ribosomal RNA". It matches the Rfam family "Bacterial small subunit ribosomal RNA", at positions 524 to 776 of the family's 1533-position model. The record is from RNAcentral.
GACGUAGGGCGCGAGCGUUGUCCGGAUUUAUUGGGCGUAAAGAGCUCGUAGGCGGCUUGUCGCGUCGACUGUGAAAACCCGAGGCUCAACUUCGGGCUUGCAGUCGAUACGGGCAGGCUAGAGUUCGGUAGGGGAGACUGGAAUUCCUGAUGUAGCGGUGAAAUGCGCAGAUAUCAGGAGGAACACCAAUAGCGAAGGCAGCUCGCUGGGACGUUACUGACACUAAGGCGCGAAAGCGUGGGGAGCGAACAGG